CCUGGAUCUAAACUUUUGACUGGCCUGAUUUUAGAUUUUGGAUCGGAUUUAGAUCUGACUUUGGAUUAGCCUGAUUUUGACUUCAGAUUAGCUAUGAUUUGGGCUUUAGAUCAGACUUAGAUCUGACUUCGGAUCAACCUGGGUCUGACUUCAUAUCAGCCUUGAUUUUAACUUUGUAUCUGGGCUUCAAAUUGGCUGA
Molecule: long non-coding RNA, 199 nt
Filed under: Elaeis guineensis (African oil palm)
Lineage: Eukaryota; Viridiplantae; Streptophyta; Magnoliopsida; Arecales; Arecaceae
Description: long non-coding RNA (EGUI_LNC073168)
Source: RNAcentral